Long non-coding RNA from Carlito syrichta (Philippine tarsier), 904 nucleotides. RefSeq lists it as uncharacterized. NCBI's taxonomy places the organism in Eukaryota, Metazoa, Chordata, Mammalia, Primates, Tarsiidae. The transcript has 2 exons. The record is from RefSeq and is a predicted model, not a curated record.
CUGCUGAGAAGGACUGCAUGGCAUGCACCGUCAUAAAGGAGUGCAGGACCUCGUUCGGUUGUCAUGAACAAUGGUUUACCAGUCAGCGAGGGUCAUCAUUCAAGGAGGUGUUCUUGGUGGGAGAGGCAAGCUGGACCUUCAGCAAUGCAUGUAGUUUUUCUCUCAACGCAUGGUUGAGAAAGGAUAAAACAGUGCCUUGAGUUUCUCUUGUCAUGCUGUUUUAGGAGGCCCAUGUUUCAUUUUCUAAUGGAGGGUGAAUUCACUGUUGUCCUGCUCUAAGGAAAGAGAAUCAUGCUUCUUUAAAAAUAAUCAGUGUAUCUGUGAUUUACGAUUUGAAUAGCCAUGUCCUCUCCUGGAUUCCUGACAUGAGGGGGCAAACAACUCAAAAUUUACUGGCCUACAUUUUUUAUACCACUACGUUUCUUCACGAAUGAAGAUAUGAGAACACACGGGUGAAAUCCCUGACAAAAUGCCCCAUAACCAAGCUUUGCUACACAAAUCCAUCUCUGAGAAGCAGGAACUCUUUAUCACCUGAGAGAGUAAGGGAGGCAUGUCCAAACUGUAUGAUAAGUACCCUGUCUGGACGUGACUCCAUUCAUGGAAGAACUUCUGUCUCAGCCUACUGGACGGAUUCCCCAUGAGUAGAAUGUGGCCUGGAAAUAAGCUGCUAACCCAAAAACAAAUGGCUGUAAUGACGUGAAUGGCCACGAAUCCUCUGGAAUUGAAACAUUUUCCCAAACGCUGUUCCUGGUUGACUUGUGGUGAGCAUAUGACUGUUUUUGCUACAUAUACGGAAUUAGCAGAUACUUUUGUUGGGCCAAUGAUGAGUACUUUAUAUUGCCCUGAGGAGUGGUGAUGACUUAAAUAUCAAGUAUAAUGGCAUGAUGCUGAGGCCCAGCCUUGA